GUCCACGCCCUAAACGAUGUCAACUGGUUGUUGGGAAGGUUUCUUCUCAGUAACGUAGCUAACGCGUGAAGUUGACCGCCUGGGGAGUACGGCCGCAAGGUUGAACUCAAAGGAAUUGACGGGGACCCGCACAAGCGGUGGAUGAUGUGGUUUAAUUCGAUGCAACGCGAAAAACCUUACCUACCCUUGACAUGCCAGGAAUUACAUAGAGAUGUGGAAGUGCUCGAAAGAGAGCCUGGGCACAGGUGCUGCAUGGCCGUCGU
This 263-nucleotide ribosomal RNA is filed under the name uncultured bacterium. RNAcentral's name for it is "partial 16S ribosomal RNA". It matches the Rfam family "Bacterial small subunit ribosomal RNA", at positions 793 to 1055 of the family's 1533-position model. The record is from RNAcentral.